ACAAAGAGAGUAGCGCACUGGUGAGUAACACGUGGGAACGUACCUUGAAGUGGGGAAUAGCGUCUGGAAACGGACGAUAAUACCGCAUAAUCCCUGAGGGGGAAAGAUUUAUCGCUUUAAGAACGGCCCGCGGAAGAUUAGGUAGUUGGUGGGGUAAAGGCCUACCAAGCCUACGAUCUAUAGCUGGUCUGAGAGGACGAUCAGCCACAUUGGAACUGAGACACGGUCCAAACUCCUACGGGAGGCAGCAG
Molecule: ribosomal RNA, 251 nt
Filed under: uncultured bacterium
Lineage: Bacteria
Description: partial 16S ribosomal RNA
Rfam family: Bacterial small subunit ribosomal RNA
Source: RNAcentral